AUUGAACGCUGGCGGCAGGCCUAACACAUGCAAGUCGAAUGGUAACAGGAAACAGCUUGCUGUUUCGCUGACGAGUGGCGGACGGGUGAGUAAUGUCUGGGAAACUGCCUGAUGGAGGGGGAUAACUACUGGAAACGGUAGCUACUACCGCAUAACGUCGCAAGACCAAAGAGGGGGACCUUCGGGCCUCUUGCCAUCAGAUGUGCCCAGAUGGGAUUAGCUAGUAGGUGGGGUAACGGCUCACCUAGGCGACGAUCCCUAGCUGGUCUGAGAGGAUGACCAGCCACACUGGAACUGAGACACGGUCCAGACUCCUACGGGAGGCAGCAGUGGGGAAUAUUGCACAAUGGGCGCAAGCCUGAUGCAGCCAUGCCGCGUGUAUGAAGAAGGCCUUCGGGUUGUAAAGUACUUUCAGCGGGGAGGAAGGGAGUAAAGUUAAUACCUUUGCUCAUUGACGGUACCCGCAGAAGAAGCACCGGCUAACUCCGUG
Molecule: ribosomal RNA, 490 nt
Filed under: uncultured bacterium
Lineage: Bacteria
Description: partial 16S ribosomal RNA
Rfam family: Bacterial small subunit ribosomal RNA
Source: RNAcentral